This 157-nucleotide ribosomal RNA is filed under the name uncultured bacterium. Its description in RNAcentral is "partial 16S ribosomal RNA". It matches the Rfam family "Bacterial small subunit ribosomal RNA", at positions 171 to 334 of the family's 1533-position model. The record is from RNAcentral.
CCAUAGUAUUACUUAUAUAUAAUAUGUAAUAAGUUUAGGCGCUUGAAGAUGGGUGUGCGUCCCAUUAGCUAGUUGGUGAGGUAACGGCUCACCAAGGCGACGAUGGUAGGGGGCGUGAGAGCGUGGUCCCCCACACGGGUACUGAGACACGGACCCG